CUCAAAGCCAAGCCGACUGUUGUUCUGAUUGGUCUGCAGGACCAGAGUGCAUUGUGGCCUCUUCCUCAAUACUAAGUACAAUUUCAUCAGCAUCGCAUGUCCAUGCAUGGAUCUGAGCAGAAGCACAAAACCUGGAGACCUUCUUCAUCCGACUUCAUUCUGGUGACUUCGCUUGUCUAUGGUGUUUGCAUGCUGCCUCCAUGACCAAACCAUGACUCCUCGAGGGCCAACAUUGCCUCCUCAUUUCUCUGUAGCCCCAGAACCUGGCAUAGACCAACUGUGAAUGAGUGUCCAGAACUGUGUGAUGGCAAAAAAGUCUUCUGUUGAUUGAAGAGCUGAAGAGCUGAUUUGAGUAUAAGUGUACAUUCAAAAAAGAAGCCCCCAUUGAGCUUUCAGUCACUUUUCCUUCCUGGCUGUGAAUGAGACAAGAGCUUCAGUGAGCAGCUGGAUGAGUAAAAAAGCAUCUGUUCUGUCUUCUCAGCUUCUAUGAGUCUAUGAGCAUCUGGUCCCUAUCUUUAUUUGAUAUAUAAUUCUACAUUUUAGGUAAGUAUCCCAAGAGAGGAGCACCUAGGCGACCUUGUAAGUUUGAAAGAUGCAUCAGUCAUCAAAAUGGAAACUGGAAUCAGGACCAGAUUCCCCCAGAUGUGGUCGUAGUCACCUCUGAAGUAAUGAUGGCCUGUGGACAAAGAAAGCAUCUCUAGCUGGAUUUGGAGAGACGGUCAUGGACUAUAUAGAAAGAUGCCAGUCAUGGGAGCCUCUAUGGCUUAAGGUGACAACUACGAGAUGUCGGCAAAAGCUAGAACAAGACAUUUCAGAAAGGGGAAAAAGGGAUUUGCUCUAAUCCUGGCAUGAUUCCUCGGUGUUCACCCCUAAUUUCAUUAACAACAAGAAGUAACAUAUCAGAAUCUUAAAGCUCCUGGGGGAGCUUUUUCCUCUCCAGAGAAGAUGGAAAACUUGGCUCCUUUCAGUUAAAUCCUGCAAACACCUCAGUUUGGGAGUGAACAUUCUGACAGUCAUUAUGCUAAAUCUUCUUUUAACAUGCUCCAAGAGAAGAAAGCUUUGUUUACUCUAAGCAUCAUGUGUAAACAGAUUCAAUUAAGGAUGUUUUCAAAGAUGUUUCAAUGAGUGCAUUUUUACCACCCAGCAUCUUGUCAAUGUGUUCUGUUUAUCAUGUGUCACUCCAGCUGAAUCACAGA
Molecule: long non-coding RNA, 1196 nt
Filed under: Monodelphis domestica (gray short-tailed opossum)
Lineage: Eukaryota; Metazoa; Chordata; Mammalia; Didelphimorphia; Didelphidae
Description: lncRNA (ENSMODG00000036069.2)
Source: RNAcentral